RNAcentral lists this ribosomal RNA (780 nucleotides) under uncultured Clostridia bacterium. RNAcentral describes it as "bacterial SSU rRNA". It matches the Rfam family "Bacterial small subunit ribosomal RNA", at positions 84 to 872 of the family's 1533-position model. The record is from RNAcentral. Lineage: Bacteria; Bacillati; Bacillota; Clostridia.
AUGAAAGAUGAGCGGCGGACGGGUGAGUAACGCGUGGGUAACCUGCCCUAUACACAUGGAUAACAUACUGAAAACGUUUACUAAUACCUGACUACAAUAUAUACUUUACGGAAUCGUAGACUAUAUCAAAGUGUUAGCGGUACUAGGACUGGACCCGCGUCUGAUUAGCUAGUUGGUGAGAUAACUGCCCACCAAGGCGACGAUCAGUAGCCGACCUGAGAGGGUGAUCGGCCACAUUGGAACUGAGACACGGUCCAAACUCCUACGGGAGGCAGCAGUUGGGGAAUAUUGCACAAUGGGCGCAAGCCUGAUGCAGCAACUCCGCGUGAACGAUGAAGGUCUUCGGAUCGUAAAGUUCUGUUGCAGGGGAAGAUAAUGACGGUACCCUGUGAGGAAGCCCCGGCUAACUACGUGCCAGCAGCCGCGGUAAUACGUAGGGGGCUAGCGUUAUCCGGAUUUACUGGGCGUAAAGGGUGCGUAGGUGGUCUUUCAAGUCGGUGGUUAAAGAUCUACGGCUCAACCGUAGUUAGCCUCCGAAACUGGAAGACUUGAGUGCAGUGAGAGGAAAGUGGAAUUCCCAGUGUAGCGGUGAAAUGCGUAGAUAUUGGGAGGAACACCAGUAGCGGAGGCGGCUUUCUGGACUGCAACUGACACUGAGGCACGAAAGCGUGGGUAGCAAACAGGAUUAGAUACCACUGGUAGUCCACGCUGUAAACGAUGAGUACUAGGUGUCGGGGGUUACCCCCCUCGGUGCCGCAGCUAACGCAUUAAGUACUCCGC